RNAcentral lists this ribosomal RNA (407 nucleotides) under uncultured bacterium. RNAcentral's name for it is "bacterial SSU rRNA". It matches the Rfam family "Bacterial small subunit ribosomal RNA", at positions 28 to 416 of the family's 1533-position model. The record is from RNAcentral.
AGCGAACGCUGGCGGCGUACUUAACACAUGCAAGUCGAACGGGGAGUCGAUGGGUAGCAAUGCUCAUCGGCUUCUAGUGGCGCACGGGUGAGUAACACGUGAGUGACCUGCCCUUGGGUCCGGGAUACCUCUUCGAAAGGAGAGCUAAUACCGGGUACGUUCGCCUGGCUGCGAGGCCGGGCGAGGACAGGCCGUGGCAACACGGUCGCCCAAGGAGGGGCUCGCGGCCUANCAGCUAGUUGGCGGGGUAAUGGCCCACCAAGGCGAUGACGGGUAGCUGGUCUGAGAGGACGACCAGCCACACGGGGACUGAGACACGGCCCCGACUCCUACGGGAGGCAGCAGUGGGGAAUUUUCCGCAAUGGGCGCAAGCCUGACGGAGUGACGCCGCGUGGGGGACGAAGGCC